GACAGAGGGUGCAAACGUUGCUCGGAAUCACUGGGCGUAAAGGGCGCGUAGGCGGGAUGGCAAGUCGGUCGUGAAAUCCUUCGGCUCAACCGAAGAACGUCGAUCGAUACUGCUGUUCUUGAGGGUUGCAGAGGAGACUGGAAUUUACGGUGUAGCGGUGAAAUGCGUAGAUAUCGUAAGGAAGACCAGUGGCGAAGGCGGGUCUCUGGACAGUUCCUGACGCUGAGGCACGAAGGUCAGGGGAGCAAACGGG
This 253-nucleotide ribosomal RNA is filed under the name uncultured bacterium. Its description in RNAcentral is "partial 16S ribosomal RNA". It matches the Rfam family "Bacterial small subunit ribosomal RNA", at positions 524 to 776 of the family's 1533-position model. The record is from RNAcentral.